RNAcentral lists this ribosomal RNA (409 nucleotides) under uncultured microorganism. RNAcentral describes it as "bacterial SSU rRNA". It matches the Rfam family "Archaeal small subunit ribosomal RNA", at positions 330 to 745 of the family's 1478-position model. The record is from RNAcentral.
GUGCACCAGGCGAGAAACUUUACAAUGUGCGAAAGCACGAUAAGGGAACUCUGAGUGCCUCCUAAGGAGGCUGUUCUGAUGUCUAAAAGCAACAGAAGUAAGGGCUGGGUAAGACCGGUGCCAGCCGCCGCGGUAACACCGGCAGCCCAAGUGGUAGCCACGUUUAUUGGGUCUAAAGCGUUCGUAGCCGGCCAGGUAAGUUCCUUGGUAAAUUUAGCCGCUUAACGGUUAAGCUUUUCAGGGAAUACUGCUUGGCUUGGGACUGGGAGAGGUCAGAGGUACUCCGGGGGUAGGGGUGAAAUCUAUUAAUCCCUGGGGGACCACCGGUAGCGAAGGCGUCUGACCAGACCAGGUCCGACGGUGAGGGACGAAGGCUAGGGGCGCGAACCGGAUUAGAUACCCGUGUAGU